GGUAGUACGGGCGUGGUUGCCGGUGUCGUAACGUACGUUUUGAAGAACGGGCCAGAGAGUUUAUUCUGCAGGCGAAGGUUAACCCAAAAGGGGAGCCGAAGGGAAACCAACAUGUCCGUAGCGCUUGCAUGGGACGACGUAUUAAAAGUGCGUGGAGUCUGCAGGAUAAGACCCGAAGCCUAGCGAUCUAUGCGUGGGCAGGUUGAAGCGUGCCGAAAGGCGCGUGGAGGACCGCAAGCGGUUUUGAUAUGCAAAUCAUUCGCGUGACCUGCGUAUAGGAGUGAAAGAUUAAUCGAGCUGGGCAUCUGCUGGUUCCUCUCGAAACAUGCCGUAGCAUGACCUGGCCGGAGAUAGACGGUGAGGUAGAGCACUGAUUGGGGGAGCUGGGGGAGAAAUCCCUCACCCUCCUGUCAAACUCCAAAUUCCCCGUCGUCGAAGAUGGCUGGCAGUCCGGACUACGGGGUAAGCUUGUAGUCCGUAAGGGAGACAACCCAGACCGUGGUUAAUGUCCCUCAAUGUAGGCUAAGUGUCAACACUGAAAGGCGUCCCAGGCCAAAGACAACUGGAAGGUGAGCUCAGAAGCAGCUAUCCUUUAAAAAGUGCGUAACAGCUUACCAGUCGAGGUUUGGGGCACUGAAAAUGGACGGGGCUAAAGCCUACUACAGAUACCACGGACCACACGUUUGUGUGAUGGCGUAGAGAGGCGUGCUGCUUGGGUCGAAGCAGGGGCGUGAGCUCCUGUGGACCGGGUAGUAAUGAGAAUUCUGGCAUUAGUAGAAGCAAAGUUGGGUGAGAAUCCCAACCGCCGGAGGGGCUAGGUUUCCUCGGCAAUGUUCGUCAGCCGAGGGUUAGUCGGUCCUAAGGUGUGUCGUAAUUCGAGCACAUCAACAGGGAAACAGGUUAAUAUUCCUGUACCAUUCAUCCGCAGCGUUAGUUCGCCCUGACGCUUCGGGAUAUGCCUGACAGGGUCGUCGCCCUGUCCAAGCGUUCAAGCUCGUGGAGUACCGCCAUGGUGAGAAGCGAGUGAAGGCGUGAUGGGGUAACCAGGCAAAUUCCUGGAGCCCGUGAAAAGGGGGAUGAAUGACCGUACCGAGAUCUGACACAGGUGCCCCUAGCUGAAGAGGCUAAGGCGUGUCGGUUUAAUCGUGUUAAGGGAACUCGGCAAAUUGGCCCCGUAACUUUGGGAUAAGGGGUGCCUGCCUGGCGAUCAGGCAGGUCGCAGUGACCAGGGGGCUCUGACUGUCUAAUAACAACAUAGGUGACUGCAACUCGGAAACGAUUAGUAUAGUCACUGAUUCCUGCCCAGUGCGAGUAUCUGAAUACCGGGUUCAACCGGACGAAGGACUCGUAAACGGCGGGGGUAACUAUGACCCUCUUAAGGUAGCGUAGUACCUUGUCGCUUAAUUGGCGACUUGCAUGAAUGGAUUAACAAGAGCCCUACUGUCCCUAACACGAAUCCGUUGAACAUUUCAUCCUAGUGCAGAGACUAGGGACUCCAGAUGGGAAGUGAAGACCCCGUGGAGCUUUACUGCAGCCUGUCGCUGUGUUACGGUAUUCCUUGCGCAGCGUAGAUGGGAGGCGUCGAACCAUCCCCUCCGGGGGGUGGGGAGCCACCAAUGAGACACCAUCCUUGGUUUACUGUAACACUAACUCAAACUUGAGGACAACGGUAGGUAGGCAGUUUGGGUGGGGCGCCACACCCUCGAAAAAAUAUCAAGGGUGCCCUAUGGUCAACUCAUGUGAGUCAGAAACUCACAGGAGAGUGUCAAGAGCAUAAGUUGGCCUGACGCGAUUACGCAAAGCAAGUAAUCGCGAGAGGAAACUCGGGUCUAACGAACCAAUGAGCCUUAUUGAUGAGGGCCAUUGACGACAGAAAAGCUACCCCGGGGAUAACAGAGUCGUCGCCGGCAAGAGCACAUAUCGACCCGGCGGCUUGCUACCUCGAUGUCGGUUCUUUCCAUCCUGGCCGUGCAGCAGCGGCCAAGGGUGAGGUUGUUCGCCUAUUAAAGGGGAUCGUGAGCUGGGUUUAGACCGUCGUGAGACAGGUCGGUUACUAUCUAUCUGGAGUGUUUGGAGUCUGAAGGUAAGAUGGAAAUAGUACGAGAGGAACUUUCCGUCGUCGCCUCUGGUCGAUCGGUUGUCCGACAGGGCAAUGCCGAGCAGCUACGCGAUAAGGGAUAAAAGCUGAAAGCAUCUAAGCUUGAAGCCUGACCUGAAAAGAGACUCCGUUGAGGACAUGGGUAAAAGACCCGCUUGAUAGGUCCGGGAUGUAAGCAUGAAGGCAACGACAUGUUCAGUCCGCGGAUACUAACGUCCGAUGCCUUCCGCU
Molecule: ribosomal RNA, 2329 nt
Filed under: Methanoculleus sp. EBM-46
Lineage: Archaea; Methanobacteriati; Methanobacteriota; Methanomicrobia; Methanomicrobiales; Methanomicrobiaceae
Description: bacterial LSU rRNA
Rfam family: Archaeal large subunit ribosomal RNA
Source: RNAcentral